RNAcentral lists this long non-coding RNA (5754 nucleotides) under Brassica napus (rape). RNAcentral describes it as "long non-coding RNA (BNAP_LNC025286)". Lineage: Eukaryota; Viridiplantae; Streptophyta; Magnoliopsida; Brassicales; Brassicaceae. The record is from RNAcentral.
CCCCCUCUCAACUGACUUCACAGCCAUUUUAGAGAAGCUAGGACACGACCAGAUCAUCUUCAAAACACCAGUAAGGCUGAUCAACACUUCACACACGGCUUGCCCUCUUCAUCGAACUGGUUUGGGUCUCCCCUUCUCAACAGACUUCUCAGCCACCUUAGAGAAGCUAGGAAACUGACCAGGAACAUCUUUAGUGAGGCUCAAGCAAUGGUACCUGAUACAUUAUCCCAAAGGUGCAUUAGUACCUAUCAAAACCAAGAAAAUGAAUAUCCUGCAUCACACUUGAUGCACACAAUCUCACAAUUCAAUCAUAAUCAUCUUAAGUAUCUUUUCAAGUACAAGCAAUGAAUAAGAUGAAUGAAAAGGAUUGAAAAGAGUUUUAAAAGUCUAAGGGAACUUCCCUUGUGUUUUUGUGAGUUUCCUAACUCUCUCAAUGCACCAUCUUCAUGUCAUCAUCAACUUCUUGGAAAGGCAGAAUGGAUUGAUCAGCUUCUCGUCAAUCACCUCUCAUUGAAGCCGCAUUGAUGGAGAGCCUUCUUCCUCACUUGCCAAGGCUGCUCUGAACAGCCUCUUGCCUAGACACGCCACUGACUUGGCCCGGUUGAUGAUCCUUGUAGAAGCUUUUGCAACAAAAGACUUGUUACUGACCAUGGAUCAUAUGCAUUAAGACUCCCCCUCAAGCUUGGAACCGAGACUAGAAGGAGCUAAGCUUGUGAUGAUUCUAUGCAUCUCCAUGGUCUAAUAACUAUCAUUUUUCAUGAUAGCUUUCUUCUUGUGAGUUUUCUCUCUUCCUUAACCAGGAAUUAGGGUGUUUGAAUCACCAUAGAGAGUCCUCACAAGGCAAGUUCUCACUGUAUAAUAACUCAUGCUACACUUCAUGUAGACUAUGGACUGAACAUGUCCUAUGAUAUUAUACAAUGGCAUUCUCUCAUUGCAUAAUCAAUCACACUACACUUCCUGUAGAUUAUGGAUUAACACAUCCAGUGAUGAUUUGCAAUGGAACUAGACCUUUUGUCUUCACACUUUGGUUUGGCUUGUCACUGUAUCACUUCUUUGUGUACCUAACAUCACCACAACUCAAUGCAAGAUCAGAUCAUCCCAUUGGGAUCAAACUAAGAUCAUCCAUCCUGUUUGAUCACCAAUGCCACAACAAUAUAUAAACCUUGAAACAAGCCAAUCAAUCAAGGCAAGAACAAGCAGUUUUAAAUCUCUAAAAAUGACAAUGCAAGCUUUAAACAAUACAUUGAAAAUUUAGGCUCAUUUUUAAAUGCAUCAAUACAUGAAUGCACAAUCUUAAAGCAUUAGCUAUAUGAAUGCAACAGGUUCAAUCCGAGAGCAAUAUUAAAGCUAUGCACAACAGUUCCAAUCAAUACCAAUGAUGCAAGCAACUUAGACAGUUUCUAAUUGAUGCAAGACAAUCAAUGAUGGAUUAAACAUAGGCAAUAGCAUCAGACAACAAUAGGAUUGAACUUAGACAGUAUGAGACAUGCUUAUGUAUGCAAAACAGCUUAUCAAUCAUGAUGCAAGCAGCAGAGACAUUCUACUCAAGUCUACAACACAUUCAUGAUAAUUUCAAGCUAUGGCAAUACACAAGACAAUGCAAUGAACAGAACAUGAGAUUUUGGGACUCUAGACAUUACCUAAUAUCAAUAAGACAAUGCAGCAGCAAAAUAUUUCCAGUGCAAUUAGCCUAGACAUUCUACUAGAAGCUAUAAACUCUUAAUGUAAAUUAGGGAAAGCACAGAGUAUAAUCAAGAGAUAGACCUAUCAAGACAUAUUAAGAUAGAUGAGACUAGGUUUACUUCCUUGUUUAAGAUGGUGAGGAGUGGUCUCUUCAUUUCGCCACUUGAGUCCUCACUUGCUAAGCUUAACAGCUUCUCCUUUCAUCACACAAGCUCACUAACUUGAAGGUGAGCGCUUACUAAGCUUCAUGAACAACCUUGUGGGAACACCUCCAUCUUCUUCAGACUUGAUGCUUACUUCCCCACUUAACCACCAUUGCACUGAGGAGAUACCUCAGCUUACUCUCCAAGUACUUCUUAUUAGAAGCUCAUUGAGUCGCUUUCUUCUUCCCUCUACUUCGGCUGCAUCUACACAUGAUCAGCUUGCAAUGGCCUUGAGGAACCAGGUCAUUGAGCUUAGAGGAUCUUCUGGUAGCUCACUUGAAUCCACACCUCAAGCUUGACUUAGUAUAGGUGCAAGCUUGAAGUGAGCCUCAAUGAGACUUCAAACCGGGAGCGCAUCACUACCUACAGCUGCGCUUAACCCAACCGAUCUGCCAUUGCCUUCAGCUCCAAUGCCUUCAGGUCAUCAGUCUCCCCAAGACUUAGGUGGUGACCUUUACUUGUGUGUCUCCAUGAACCAGGAGCACAUCACUAUCACUAGCUGCGCUAUCUCAACCGGCCAUACACACAAGUCUUUCUCCAUUGCUUUAACAAUGGCAAAGUCUUCCUCUUCUACUUGGAUGGAUGGUGAGCAAAGAACACUUCUUGUGAACCUGAAACACCACUCAAACUCCAGCAAAGAUAAGACACAAUUGCAUUGGGAUCAAUCCUUGACUUCAUCAAGUUUGAUCACCAAUGUCUCAAGCUUUAUAGCAUUAGAUAGAAUCAAGACAAUGUCAAGUUCUUAUCUAUGCAAGCAACCAUUCUCUAAAUACAAAGCAAGACCUUAUCAGAUUCAAGUCAACGUAUUUAGGCAAUUUUAAUUACUUCUUAAUCUGCAACUUAGACUUUGAUUUCUAACUCAUGACAGCAAGCAUGAUAAUAUAAUCUAUCAUAUUAACAAGACAAUUUAAUUUAGAACUGGACAUUAAGCAUUUAACCAUUUUCAAUCUUAUUGAUGUCAAAUCUUGAUUAAUAACUUAUCAAGUUUGAUUCCCACUAUCACAAGCAAUGCAACAGAUAGACACAAGGCAUUAUCAGGUUCUAUUCUUUGCAAGCUAACUCUCUAAGUACAAGCAAGAUCCUAACAGAUUCAAGACAAGUUUCUUAGGCACUCUUAAGAGCUUCUUUACUCAGCACUUAGACAUGAAUCUAAUGCUUCAAUGUAAGACAGCCACAAGAUGAUAAAAUGCUUUAAUCUUUAUCAGUCUCUAACACAUGAAUGCACCCAGUUUUAACAGUAGCAUUUAGCACAUUAAUACACAUUCAUUUAGAGCUGGGAUUAAGAAAUAACAUUAUCAACCAACAUCAGACACAAUGCAUAACCUUUGGUGAUUUCAUUUCAUGAAUGCAAUCAGGUUUAGACAAAUUCUAACUCCCUAACAAGCAUCACUAGAAUCAAGGCAUUUUUAAACAUUUCAGACACCAAACAAGACUUUUUAAAUAUCCUCGGACAGAUUCUAAACUCAUUUUCAUUUAGCAAUCUUAAACAUAUCCUCAGGUUUUCAAUCACAACAUCACAACCAUAUCAUAAAGACACAAGCUUUAAACAAGGGAAAAAGGUUUAGCUUACAACCAAGGAACCAGUGCUUGUUCCUUGAGCCUCCAAGGCAAUCUGCAUCAUAAAUGGACAAACCAACAUCUCCUUCUUUACGUGGCCUUUCUCCUUGAACCCACCAUGCCAAAGACACCUCCUUUCUUCAUGUUUGAGUUGCCACACAAGUACCAAUGCUGAAAGCUUCCUCCUUGGAAGGUUUCUUCUUGGACAGUGAAUGGGAAAGGCUUGGACAUGCUUCCAAUUGCCUUCUUUCUUCAGGGCGGACAUGAGAGAGUAUGAUGGACUUAGGACAGCUUCUAUACAUGCCAUGGAUGAGCAAAACUUCAUCUUGAAGAGAUUACACAGCCGGCUGGAAAGAACUUCUUCAACAGCUUCAAUAGCUUGAAAAUGGCAUGGGAGUGAGCUUGUGCUUGAGCUGAAGCUGGAACCAAGUUCUGAUGAACCUGGCUCUGAUACCAUAUAAGAUUUAACAGAGUUCAGGUUGUGUGUGUGAUGAACACGCCCUUAAGGGCAAGAGAUCUUGUCUUGUGACAAUAAUGGAAGAGAAUAAAAGAGAGACUGAUGGAAGAAUAAGGAUGGUGUGAGAUUAAGAGACUUUGAGUGAGAGAUUAAGAGAUUAGAGAGACUGAGAGAUUAAGUAACCAGAGAAUAGAGAUUGAGAGAUUCAAAGUAACCAAAAACUAUGAAGGAGAAGGGAAAAUCCCCCUUACUCACUUAAGAGUUACAAAACAUCACUUAUGAGCUUAUAUAUGCUCUUUACAACUUGCAAUCAUAAACCUAAAUCUAAGGGCUGUUAUAACUUGAAUUUAAAUGGAUGGAUGAGAUGGAAAGAUGGUCUUGGUCGUGGCUGGCUCUUCCUGAUGGAUAAUUGGUCCAUUUGAAUCUGGUCAAGGGAAGGCUGGCUCCUUAUUGGCUAGCUAAAGGCUCCCAUGAAUCUGCCCACUUCUUUUGCUAGAUACAUGGUCUCCUUUUGCUUUUACUUUACAGCAAGGGACUCUCCUUUCCAGCCUGUCACUCGCCAGCCUCUCCUUUGUCUUCUUCUCUUAAGAGUUUUGUGUUCUCUUACUGUGGUAACUCUCCAAAGUUACUGUAGUAACUUUGGAGUUACUGUCUCAACCAAAUAUUCUCCAAAUGGUGUUUAAGUCCCUCCUGGACUUAAACCCAAUCUUGCACAGCCAUAAGAUCACUUCUUGACUUCUUAAGACCCUCCUGAAGCUUGACAGACAAUCUCUGUAAGACUUGCCCUCUCUUUGCACUAGAACCAAACUACUCCAUACUUUUCCUUUCACUCCAUUUCUAUUCUUCAAGUUAACAUUCUAGAGCUUGCCCUAUCAUUGUACAAGCUACAUCUUCUCUUCAGUUCAACAGCCAACACCUAUGAGAUUGAUUCAUCUUCCUGGUGAUUCUCCACAACUUUAUGUAUCCAAAUCAAGCUUUUCACAAAGUGAUUCAUCCUGGUUUGAUUGGAACGACGAAGAAGCUGUCCUAUUCCCAAACUGGUAAACUGGAAUCACCUGAUUUGAAAGUGGGAUAUCUUCUUCAUGCCAACUCCUAUAAGAUUUGGCCUAGGGAUUGGCCAGUGAGCUCUUGUGCCUUAGAACCAGUGUGGUUGGACACAAGAAGCUCUGGAUCACGGCCUAAUAGGUGCAGCAACUCAAAACAGCUUUGCGCACACUUCACACUUCAGCUUCACCUCUUCAUGGAACCGGUUUGAAGUCUCCCCCUCUCAACUGACUUCACAGCCAUUUUAGAGAAGCUAGGACACGACCAGAUCAUCUUCAAAACACCAGUAAGGCUGAUCAACACUUCACACACGGCUUGCCCUCUUCAUCGAACUGGUUUGGGUCUCCCCUUCUCAACAGACUUCUCAGCCACCUUAGAGAAGCUAGGAAACUGACCAGGAACAUCUUUAGUGAGGCUCAAGCAAUGGUACCUGAUACAUUAUCCCAAAGGUGCAUCAGUACCUAUCAAAACCAAGAAAAUGAAUAUCCUGCAUCACACUUGAUGCACACAAUCUCAUAAUUCAAUCAUAAUCAUCUCAAGUAUCUUUCCAAGCACAAGCAAUGAAUAAGAUGAAUGAAAAAAAGCAAUUCAAUCAUAAUCAUCUUAAGUAUCUUUUCAAGUACAAGCAAUGAAUAAGAUGAAUGAAAAGGAUUGAAAAGAGUUUUAAAAGUCUAAGGGAACUUCCCUUGUGUUUUUGUGAGUUUCCUAACUCUCUCAAUGCACCAUCUUCAUGUCAUCAUCAACUUCUUGGAAAGGCAGAAUGGAUUGAUCAGCUUCUCGUCAAUCACCUCUCAUUGAAGCCGCAUUGAU